Molecule: small RNA, 538 nt
Filed under: Pan troglodytes (chimpanzee)
Lineage: Eukaryota; Metazoa; Chordata; Mammalia; Primates; Hominidae
Description: retained intron
Source: RNAcentral
UCAGCCGGGGCUGAACUCUCAGGUGCUCCUUGAAGCCCAGGAUGCUGUUAACUGGGAGAAAGACCCUGGCAGUCUAUCCCUCUUACCCUCCCUGCCCCAACUUUCCAGGACCUGGUUCCAGCCCACUCUUCUCCCUGCUGCCUGGGUAUCGUGGCCACCCCAGUUUCCAGUCCUUGGUGAGCAAGCUCCGGAGCCAAGUGAUGUCCAUGGCCCGGCCACAGCUGUCACACACGAUCCUCACCGAGAAGAACUGGUUCCACUACGCUGCCCGGAUCUGGGACGGGGUGAGAAAGUCCUCUGCUCUGGCAGAGUACAGCCGCCUGCUGGCCUGAGGCCAAGGAGAGGAAUGUCAUGCAGGGGACCUCCUGGGUCCCCAGUGUACUGCGAGGGAGCACAAAUGUCCGUCCCCCGCUGGGGUGGAGAGCGGCAGCAGGCCUGAUGGAUGAGGGAUCGUGGCUUCCCGGCCCAGAGACAUGAGGUGUCCAGGGCCAGGCCCCCCACCCUCAGUUGGGGCUGUUCCGGGGGUGACUGUGAGCGA